RNAcentral lists this non-coding RNA (296 nucleotides) under Coccidioides immitis H538.4. RNAcentral describes it as "Eukaryotic large subunit ribosomal RNA". It matches the Rfam family "Eukaryotic large subunit ribosomal RNA", at positions 1 to 292 of the family's 3401-position model. Lineage: Eukaryota; Fungi; Ascomycota; Eurotiomycetes; Onygenales; Onygenaceae. The record is from Rfam by way of RNAcentral.
UGACCUCGGAUCAGGUAGGAGUACCCGCUGAACUUAAGCAUAUCAAUAAGCGGAGGAAAAGAAACCAACAGGGAUUGCCUCAGUAACGGCGAGUGAAGCGGCAAAAGCUCAAAUUUGAAAUCUGGCUCCAUGCGGAGCCCGAGUUGUAAUUUGGAGAGGACACUUCGGGUGCGGCCACGGCAUAAGUUCCUUGGAACAGGACGUCAUAGAGGGUGAGAAUCCCGUCUUUGGCUGCUGGACCGCGCCCAUGCAAAGUUCCUUCGACGAGUCGAGUUGUUUGGGAAUGCAGCUCUAAG